RNAcentral lists this ribosomal RNA (632 nucleotides) under Atheta amicula. RNAcentral's name for it is "partial 16S ribosomal RNA". It matches the Rfam family "Bacterial large subunit ribosomal RNA", at positions 1819 to 2734 of the family's 2925-position model. Lineage: Eukaryota; Metazoa; Arthropoda; Insecta; Coleoptera; Staphylinidae. The record is from RNAcentral.
GUCUUUUUGAGAAUAAUUUAAAGUCUAACCUGCCCAAUGAGUAGUUGAAUGGCCGCAGUAUUUUGACUGUGCAAAGGUAGCAUAAUCAUUAGUUUCUUAAUUAGAAACUGGAAUGAAAGGUUGGACGAGAAAAUAUCUGUCUCUUUAUAAAUUUUUUAGAAUUUUAUUUUUAAGUUAAAAAGCUUAAAUGAAUUUAAAAGACGAGAAGACCCUAUAGAGUUUUAUAAAAAGUUUUAUUAAUAAUUAUAAUUUAAUUUGUUUAAUUUUAAUAAAAUUUUUAUUUAAUUGGGGUGAUUAAAAAAUUUAAAGAACUUUUUUUUUAUAAAAACAUUAUUAUAUGAUUUUUUGAUCCAUUUUUUAUGAUUAUAAGAUUAAAUUACCUUAGGGAUAACAGCGUAAUUUCUUUGUAGAGUUCAAAUCGAUCAAGAAGUUUGCGACCUCGAUGUUGGAUUAAAAUUUAAUUUUGGUGUAGAAGCUAAAAAAUUAGGUCUGUUCGACCUUUAAAAUUUUACAUGAUCUGAGUUUAAACCGGUGUGAGCCAGGUUGGUUUCUAUCUUUAAAUAAAAAUAAAUAUUUUAGUACGAAAGGACCAAAUAUUUUUAAUAAUUAAUAAAUUAUGAAUAUUAAUAAGU